GCAUCGCGGGGCUGGACUUUAUGGUAAGCCCUCACGUCAUCUCACGGAAGUUUCAAUUUCAAGACAAGCUUAGUGCCACUUAGGCUACACCAGCCAGCAAGCAACAGUCUUUGUAUUAGUGCAACCAAACAUGUUAAGGAGUCGCUCCUAAGUUGAGAAUCAUCGCCAACAUCGCGGCGAAAAAGAUCCACCUCUGACAAGCAUUGUUCUCACGAAGGGACGACGAGGAAAGACGGGAAGCCAUGCUAACUGCUAAGCUAACCUAAGGUUCACACGUAACCAUGAAACAAAGGAAUGAAUUGCUUGGGUGAUUGUGUUCACUUUUCACCGAAGUCUGGCUGGAACCGGGUUACAGUUGGGCGUAUGCAACGCUGAACGACAAAAUAGCAGGCAAUUAAUAAGUGGCAUCUUUAAAAAAUGUUUGCUUUGCUACAGGGCCAUACAACCUAUUCAGAAAUAUUAAAUUGUUUUAUGGUCGUGUAAAAUUUAGUAGUUUAAAGAAGCCAUUCUUUAAUUUUUAUAUGCUGUAAAAUAAUGUUAUUUUCCCGCUGAGUACCCCUGAAGCGUUACGUUCUCUUUUCUUGUGUUCUGCUACUAUCUUGUGGCGGAUGAAGUAAUUACAUCACUGGUAGAUUUUUCUUUUUUAAAGGUUAAAUUGAAAGGAGGAUGGUAAACGUAUGUUUUGGACAACUACGGGGAGAAAAAAAAGUGUAACAAGCUUAUAUUGUGCUGUUGACGAAUGAGAAUGCCAUAAAUUGGGUCCACUAAAGUCCGUAGGCAGACCGAAUAGCCAAAAUAAUUGACCCGAAAUAAGUGGUGACAAAUGAUGACCACCGUGCAGGCAGAGAUGAUUAUUUACAUAGUCAUAAAUAAUGUUACUCUAGCAGAUUUAACUACAGAAAAUGCCCUCCAAUUUUGGAAUGACCCAAAGACUGACAACCUUCCACACUCGCAUUCAUAACUAUACGAAACACGUGGUCACCGUGCUGACCAUUUUAAAUAUGUUCCAUUUAAAUAUUUGAGCCUGACAAUAAAUAUAUUGUUUUACUGUAAUAUUAUGACGAAAUGGACUAGGUUUGGAACACGCUUAAAAAAGGAAAGCUUUUGAAUAAACACAAUGGGAUCCAUAUGGCAAUAUUGGCAUGACUACGUAAUAAGAUAAAUGACUUCUAGCCAUGUGCUCUAAGGCAUUAAUAGAGUUAUCGUCACGAGUGACACAAACCUGAAGUAAAUUGACACCAACAUCAGCUGAAGCAUAAACCACAAAUUGUCAACGAACAAUGAAGCCUAACUCGUUGACACUAACUUAACACACAAUUUCAACCCUCAUACAAACGCAGUCGCACAUAGAGAGAUAGAUGGAUAGCCAUCAAUUAUAAUCAUUUCAACCCUAUCCAUGAAAGCAUGUGACAUCUGUCAGGGUGUUCCCAUAUAAACGCGAACUUUGCUCAGUUUUAAUAACGCGCUGUAAAUAUACAGUAUGUAAAAAAAAAAAGUCCAGCAUGUCAACAGAAACAAAACUCCCCAUCCGAAGUGGUGCGUUUGAGUAUUAUUUGGAAAACUGUAAAAUCGUUUUUUAAGACUAAGGAGUAAAGUGGAUGUGUUAAAUGCCAGUAAAAAAUAAUUCUACAGUAAUAAAAGUAUUGAAGAGCCAUAUCCACGUGUUAAAGGGUGUUUUAAAUGGUUCGCGUGUACAAAUAAUGACCUUGGCGGCGAGUGAAGAUACGUGAAUUCCGUUUGUCUUUGAAGGCAGCAAGCGUCGGCCGCGCCCCUCCUCCACUCCCCGGCUUCAGGUAACUUUGUCCCGGGUUUCUGAGUUCCGUACGUGUCGGCCGCCACUCUCCUUCCAGCCAGGUUAGGCCAACGGGGCAGACAUCAGCCAUGGCCGAGUCCCAGCUCGUGUGCAUGGAGGACGGCCGAAUCGGCGUCCAGGUGCCGGAGACGCGGCCGGAGUUCUACUACAGCGAGGAGCAGCGCGCCGCCAUCGAGGAGCUCCUUAAGAACGGCGACGGUGCCUUCAAAAUGCGCCUCAAGGACGACAACAUGAAAGACUUUUUAUCCGCCAGAGAGGUGAAAAUGUUGAACAACAACUUCAGACACUACGACGGAGCCGGGGAGGGGGACGGACAUGCGACCGGGGGGUCGUCUCCGUCCUCGGACUCGGGGGUCCACUCCACCUACUGGCCGCAGAUGUCCGACACCGAGGUGCCGCCGCUGGACAUCGGCUGGCCCAGCUGGGGCUUCUUCAAGGGGGUGACCCGAGUGGCGGUCCACACGCACCCGCCCAAGGACAACGGACCCCAUAUCAAGGAGGUGGUGCGCAGGCUCAUCCAGGGGGCCAGCAAGGUGAUCGCCAUCGUGAUGGACCUGCUCACCGACCUCCAGAUCCUGCAGGACCUGAUGGACGCCGCCUGGCGCCGCUCGGUGCCCAUCUACAUCCUGCUGGACAACCACGGCGUGCCGCACUUCCUGGACAUGUGCUCCCGGCUGCACAUCGGCGCCCAGCACCUGCGGAACAUCCGUGCCAGAACCCUCACGGGGGUGGGCUUCAACUUGUCCUUCGGCAGACUCCCGGGCUCCAUGUGCUCCAAGUAUAUGCUGGUGGAUGGAGAGAAGGUGGUCUUUGGAUCCUACAGCUUCUCGUGGUCCACGUCGCGCAUGGACCGCAACACCAUCACGGUGAUGACGGGCCAAGUGGUGGAGUUCUUCGACCAGGACUUCCGUGAGCUCUACGCCGUGUCGGAGAAGCUGGACCUCUUCCGCGAGUUCCACGUGAGCCCACCGGCCAACGUCAGCGCCACCGUGCGCGCCAAGGCGGGCCCCAAGCGCCCCCCGCUUCCCGCCACCACAUCCCGCUUCCAAGUCAGCCUGGGCGACGCCCGCAAAGUCAACAACAUCGAGGUCCCCGCUCACAAGUACUACAACCCCAAGUACUUCCUGUUGUUCCCGGACGUGCCGCAUCCGGCCAGGUCCCUCCAAGGGCCGACCAAACCGUCUGAGCUCUUGCGGCUCACCGUGCCCCAGGACCCGGUCACCAGUAGCGAGAAGCUGGACCGGCUCAGCCCGCUCCCGUCGGAAGCCCCCGUGGAGUUCUUCAAGAAACCCAACGGGGUCCCGCAGGAGAAGAAGAGACUGACGCUGAAGCAGAAGAUCACCAAGAGGUUGUCGUCCAGCAAGCUGUCCGUCAACAGCGGCAGGUCCAGCCCCGCCCCCGCCGGAUCCACAGAAUACCUGGAGAGCCAGGACCACCUGGAGGUGAAGGUCAAGUCGCCCCCCGGCAGGCUCAGGCUCCUCAAGAGGCCGUCCACGCUCGGGCCCAGGACCGACUCUGUGCAGACGGUCGACACCACGCAAGACAACUUGAGUGAGUGAUGCCGACGUGACGUGAAGUCGGAUGGCGGAAGGAAGUCGUGCUCUUGCUCGAAAAAGCAUGAAGAGUCACCAUCGAUCUAAGCAAGUCUGCAAAGUGUCCUGAGCUCUCGUCUUGGACGAAGAUUGUUGUUUUUUUUCUCCCCUCAAGUGUAUUUGAAACGGUUUACAAGCACUAAAUUCACUUUUGUUCGCAUGCGUCUUGGACAUCCUGCUGCUAACUGGAAGUAGCGCGCUCGCGGAACAGCUGACCAAUCAAAGUGGCGAUAAAAACAAGAGUGCCUUCUUCAUUGUUGUAGAAAAAAUAAAAUAACUUGGACAGUA
RNA transcript from Hippocampus comes (tiger tail seahorse), 3693 nucleotides. It is a transcript of the gene named family with sequence similarity 83 member Fb, with no coding region annotated. The transcript is spliced from 5 exons. The record is from RefSeq and is a predicted model, not a curated record. Lineage: Eukaryota; Metazoa; Chordata; Actinopteri; Syngnathiformes; Syngnathidae.